RNAcentral lists this ribosomal RNA (481 nucleotides) under uncultured bacterium. RNAcentral describes it as "partial 16S ribosomal RNA". It matches the Rfam family "Bacterial small subunit ribosomal RNA", at positions 28 to 507 of the family's 1533-position model. The record is from RNAcentral.
GAUGAACGCUGGCGGCGUGCUUAACACAUGCCAGUCGAACGAAGCACUUUAUUUGAUUUCCUUCGGGACUGAUUAUUUUGUGACUGAGUGGCGGACGGGUGAGUAACGCGUGGGUAACCUGCCUUGUACAGGGGGAUAACAGUUGGAAACGGCUGCUAAUACCGCAUAAGCGCACGGCAUCGCAUGAUGCAGUGUGAAAAACUCCGGUGGUAUAAGAUGGACCCGCGUUGGAUUAGCUAGUUGGUGAGGUAACGGCCCACCAAGGCGACGAUCCAUAGCCGACCUGAGAGAGUGACCGGCCACAUUGGGACUGAGACACGGCCCAAACUCCUACGGGAGGCAGCAGUGGGGAAUAUUGCACAAUGGGCGAAAGCCUGAUGCAGCGACGCCGCGUGAGCGAAGAAGUAUUUCGGUAUGUAAAGCUCUAUCAGCAGGGAAGAUAAUGACGGUACCUGACUAAGAAGCACCGGCUAAAUACGUG